AUACGGAGGGUGCAAGCGUUAUUCGGAAUCACUGGGCGUAAAGGACGCGUAAGCGGGUUGGCAAGUCAGAUGUGAAAUCCUACAGCUUAACUGUAGAACUGCAUUUGAAACUGCUAACCUAGAGUAUGGGAGGGGGAGAUGGAAUUAGUGGUGUAGGGGUAAAAUCCGUAGAUAUCACUAGGAAUACCGAAAGCGAAGGCGAUCUCCUGGAACAUAACUGACGCUAAGGCGUGAAAGCGUGGGGAGCAAACAGGAUUAGAUACCCUAGUAGUCC
RNAcentral lists this ribosomal RNA (274 nucleotides) under uncultured bacterium. RNAcentral's name for it is "partial 16S ribosomal RNA". It matches the Rfam family "Bacterial small subunit ribosomal RNA", at positions 523 to 796 of the family's 1533-position model. The record is from RNAcentral.